This 293-nucleotide ribosomal RNA is filed under the name Bacillus cereus. RNAcentral's name for it is "partial 16S ribosomal RNA". It matches the Rfam family "Bacterial small subunit ribosomal RNA", at positions 1 to 281 of the family's 1533-position model. The record is from RNAcentral. Lineage: Bacteria; Bacillati; Bacillota; Bacilli; Caryophanales; Bacillaceae.
UUUAUUGGAGAGUUUGAUCCUGGCUCAGGAUGAACGCUGGCGGCGUGCCUAAUACAUGCAAGUCGAGCGAAUGGAUUAAGAGCUUGCUCUUAUGAAGUUAGCGGCGGACGGGUGAGUAACACGUGGGUAACCUGCCCAUAAGACUGGGAUAACUCCGGGAAACCGGGGCUAAUACCGGAUAACAUUUUGAACCGCAUGGUUCGAAAUUGAAAGGCGGCUUCGGCUGUCACUUAUGGAUGGACCCGCGUCGCAUUAGCUAGUUGGUGAGGUAACGGCUCACCAAGGCAACGAUG